AUUGAACGCUGGCGGCAUGCCUUACACAUGCAAGUCGAACGGCAGCGCGGACUUCGGUCUGGCGGCGAGUGGCGAACGGGUGAGUAAUACAUCGGAACGUACCCUGUUGUGGGGGAUAACUAGUCGAAAGAUUAGCUAAUACCGCAUACGACCUGAGGGUGAAAGUGGGGGACCGCAAGGCCUCACGCAGCAGGAGCGGCCGAUGUCUGAUUAGCUAGUUGGUGGGGUAAAGGCCCACCAAGGCGACGAUCAGUAGCUGGUCUGAGAGGACGAUCAGCCACACUGGGACUGAGACACGGCCCAGACUCCUACGGGAGGCAGCAGUGGGGAAUUUUGGACAAUGGGGGCAAGCCUGAUCCAGCCAUGCCGCGUGUGUGAAGAAGGCCUUCGGGUUGUAAAGCACUUUUGUCCGGAAAGAAAUCGAGCUGGUUAAUACCUGGCGUGGAUGACGGUACCGGAAGAAUAAGCACCGGCUAACUACGUG
Molecule: ribosomal RNA, 484 nt
Filed under: uncultured bacterium
Lineage: Bacteria
Description: partial 16S ribosomal RNA
Rfam family: Bacterial small subunit ribosomal RNA
Source: RNAcentral